Molecule: long non-coding RNA, 280 nt
Filed under: Citrus sinensis (sweet orange)
Lineage: Eukaryota; Viridiplantae; Streptophyta; Magnoliopsida; Sapindales; Rutaceae
Description: long non-coding RNA (CSIN_LNC000616)
Source: RNAcentral
AUCCUUGUCCAGAUGUCCUCCCAGAACAACUUGUUCCAUUCAAAGCAAUUAAACCACAGGUGCAAAAAUUAAAAGUGACUCAUCAAGAUCUAAUUGAUAAAUCAUGCACUAAAAUCAAACCCUGUUUUCAGCUCGUGAUAGUAAUCAGCAAAUUAAAGAUCAAUCAUAGUACUGCUCUUGUUGUUGAAUGUGGUGUGGCAUGUAGUUAUUCUUUCUCGUCUUCUUUUGAUCAUAGCCAAUCAUCCCUCUAGCUUCAGCCUGCACAUCCCUCACAUCUCUA